CCUACGGGAGGCAGCAGUGAGGAAUAUUGGUCAAUGGACGCGAGCCUGAACCAGCCAAGUAGCGUGAAGGAUGACUGCCCUACGGGUUGUAAACUUCUUUUAUAAAGGAAUAAAACGAGGCACGUGUGCCUUUUUGCAUGUACUUUAUGAAUAAGGAUCGGCUAACUCCGUGCCAGCAGCCGCGGUAAUACGGAGGAUCCGAGCGUUAUCCGGAUUUAUUGGGUUUAAAGGGAGCGUAGAUGGGUUGUUAAGUCAGUUGUGAAAGUUUGCGGCUCAACCGUAAAAGUGCAAUUGAUACUGGCAGCCUUGAGUACAGUUGAGGUAGGCGGAAUUCGUGGUGUAGCGGUGAAAUGCUUAGAUAUCACGAAGAACCCCGAUUGCGAAGGCAGCUUACUAAACUGCGACUGACAUUGAUGCUCGAAAGUGUGGGUAUCAAACAGGAUUAGAUACCCCAGUAGUC
Molecule: ribosomal RNA, 460 nt
Filed under: uncultured bacterium
Lineage: Bacteria
Description: partial 16S ribosomal RNA
Rfam family: Bacterial small subunit ribosomal RNA
Source: RNAcentral